RNAcentral lists this long non-coding RNA (832 nucleotides) under Homo sapiens (human). RNAcentral describes it as "novel transcript". Lineage: Eukaryota; Metazoa; Chordata; Mammalia; Primates; Hominidae. The record is from RNAcentral.
AAUAAAAUUUCUGUUUGUAAUCAACCUAAUAUAAAUUCAACACACAAUUAAGAUUUAGGAAUGUGUAACACCCCAAGGCUCUUAAUUUUCAAAAGUCACAAAACUAUGUUUACUCAAAUGGUUUGACAUUAUUUAAAAAUUGGAUUCUAUCUUAUUCUCUUGAGGAAAUUUUUGGGUAGUUAGAAGUUUUGACAUAAUUAAUUUCUGAAUAUUUCACAUUUAUCUUUCAGAUUUUCCUGACAUCAAUGUAUCCUUUUGAGUAUAUUAUCGUAUCUCUUAACAUUUCUGUUUCAUCCUUGACCUGAGACUUUUUUUUUUUUUUUUAAUCUUGAGAUAAUUCUUGGCUUUGUCAAGGCUACUGGUGACAAAAGCAUUAGCAAGCAGGUGCAGAGUGCUUUUUCCACCAAAGAAGAGACAUUGUACUCUUUUUGGGGUUAUAUUAAUGACUAAUUCACCUCUCUGUCCUCCUCAAUGCCAUCUGUCUUUUGUUUGGUCUCCCUGAUGUUAGUCACGAAGUCUGCUUAGAAGGAUUUAUGUCUUACUUUGAUAUAGGUUCUAUACUCAAUGCUAGGGAACAAUCAUUGGCAAGAUGUGUCUCCUUUACUCAAAGAGGUUUUAAUGGUCUAUGUUUGGAAAAGAGACAUACAGUCAUUAGAAUGCAAUAUUGUGAAAGUUGACAAGGGAAAUUCUUGGGGUUAUGGGAAUCUUCAAUAUCUUUAUUGAGAAAUACAGAUAUACACAUUUAUCAAAACUCAUAAAAUGAUGAAUUUGUAGUAUUUUAUUGUGUAUAAAUUAUGCCUCAAUAAAAGUUCAUUGUAAUGUGCUGAAAGAA